UCUCCGUUGGUGAACCAGCGGAGGGAUCAUUACAGGACUCGCAAGACUCCUACAACCCUGUGAACUUAACUAUAAGCACGUUGCUUCGGCGGGUGUCUCGGAGGGGGUUCUCCCUCCCCGAGCCGCUAAACCCGCCGGCAGCCUACUAUACUCUGUCUCUUUGCGUUGGCAUCUCGAGUACAAUCAAACAAGUUAAAACUUUCAACAACGGAUCUCUUGGUUCUG
This 225-nucleotide unclassified non-coding RNA is filed under the name plant metagenome. Its description in RNAcentral is "partial contains small subunit ribosomal RNA, internal transcribed spacer 1, and 5.8S ribosomal RNA". The record is from RNAcentral.